GACGAACGCUGGCGGCGUGCUUAACACAUGCAAGUCGAGCGGAAAGGCCCUUUCGGGGGUACUCGAGCGGCGAACGGGUGAGUAACACGUGAGUAAUCUGCCCUUGGCUUUGGGAUAACUACCGGAAACGGUGGCUAAUACCGGAUACGACGUACUCAGGCAUCUGAUGUGCGUGGAAAGUUUUUUCGGCCAGGGAUGUGCUCGCGGCCUAUCAGCUUGUUGUGGGGUAAUGGCCUACCAAGGCUUCGACGGGUAGCCGGCCUGAGAGGGUGACCGGCCACACUGGGACUGAGACACGGCCCAGACUCCUACGGGAGGCAGCAGUGGGGAAUAUUGGACAAUGGGCGAAGCCUGAUCCAGCAACGCCGCGUGAGGGAUGACGGCC
RNAcentral lists this ribosomal RNA (385 nucleotides) under uncultured bacterium. RNAcentral describes it as "bacterial SSU rRNA". It matches the Rfam family "Bacterial small subunit ribosomal RNA", at positions 28 to 416 of the family's 1533-position model. The record is from RNAcentral.